UAGAGUUUGAUCCUGGCUCAGGACGAACGCUGGCGGCGUGCUUAACACAUGCAAGUGGAGCGACGAACCGGGCUUCGGCCCGGGGCAAAGCCGCGAACGGGUGAGUAACACGUGGGCAAUCUGCCCUUCACUCUGGGACAAGCCCUGGAAACGGGGUCUAAUACCGGAUAACACUUCCUCGGGCAUCUGAGGUGGUUAAAAGCUCCGGCGGUUUUGGAUGAGCGUGCGCCUGAUUAGGUAGUUGGCGGGGUAACGGCCCACCAAGCCUGCGAUCAGUAACUGGUGUGAGAGCACGACCAGUCACACGGGCACUGAGACACGGGCCCGACUCCUACGGGAGGCAGCAGUAAGGAAUAUUGGUCAAUGGACGCAAGUCUGAACCAGCCAUGCCGCGUGAAGGAUGAAGGUCCUCUGGAUUGUAAACUUCUUUUAUAUGGGACGAAACCUCUUUUUCUUGAGAGACUGACGGUACCAUAAGAAUAAGCACCGGCUAACUCCGUGCCAGCAGCCGCGGUACG
This 518-nucleotide ribosomal RNA is filed under the name uncultured bacterium. RNAcentral's name for it is "bacterial SSU rRNA". It matches the Rfam family "Bacterial small subunit ribosomal RNA", at positions 1 to 524 of the family's 1533-position model. The record is from RNAcentral.